CGAAUUGCAAUGUGUCCAGGUUGUCUGGUAGGCUGGAGUUGAUGCGUGCCGUGACCAACCUCUCAAAGCACUUCAUGAUGGUGGAUGUCAGAGCCACUGACAGCCUAAGGGAUGAAGAGAUUGUUUCACUGCUAUGCUGCUUGACUGGCUGAAUUAUUGCAGCAUUUCUGUUUUCCUUUCAUACUCCAGCAUCUACAGUUUUAUUUAUUUUCCAUCGACA
This is a long non-coding RNA of Pristis pectinata (smalltooth sawfish), 220 nucleotides long. RefSeq lists it as uncharacterized. The record is from RefSeq and is a predicted model, not a curated record. The transcript is spliced from 3 exons. NCBI's taxonomy places the organism in Eukaryota, Metazoa, Chordata, Chondrichthyes, Rhinopristiformes, Pristidae.